CUCAGAAAUUAUGCUGCCAGCCUAAAUAGGUCUUGGAACAAAAGUGAGAUGUUACAAUUUAGAAAAUGAAAUAAAGACAAAACAUAUUGAAGCUGUUUUCAAGCUUGAAUGAAAAAAAAAUAUCACAUAUUUCCCCUGUGGCCUGCAGUGCUACUCAUGCUACUCAUCUCUCUGGCUGUGAGUUUCUCACUUUGCCUGGCUUCUCUUCAAUAAAAUGGAAUCUAAUAGCUUUCCCCUAAAAUACAUUUAAAUACCUCAGCAGCAACGUCUCUUCUCUGAAAUCAUGACUCAAGUUUUAUUUUUAAUCUACCGUGAUCUGCCAUGUGAGGACUGCAGUUAAGCAAGGUUAAAGCCUCUUUACUUCUUAUUUGCCAUCAUGCUUUUACAAGCAUCAUGAUUAGAUAGAUGAUGUUCACGUCUGCAGAUUUUUAUUCAUUUAUUUUUUAAGUAACUGGGUCAUGACCUCUGAAAAGAGUCAGAUGUAUUCCCAUCAAAUAUAUUUUUCGGCACUUUGAAUGUCAAGUAAGAUUUAGGCAAAGCCAUUAACGACCCUUUUAAAAGGUCACGAGCCAAAAAGUUUGGGAAACACAGCUUUACUGAAACUGAUGCAUGAAGGCAGCUGCUCCUGUCUGGUCUGGGCCGAUACAGAAAUGCUCAGCAACACGUUGAAGUAAACAAAGUCCUUUAAUGCAGACACUUACAGCAGCCACAGGCAGGUCACACUCCAGCAUUUUUUACACCUCUUCUUCACAAACCAAAAAUAUCUCUGCAACCUAGCAGCUGCAGUGACACAAACCAGGAGCUCGUGUCCGAUGUUCUUUGUUUUUCAUUAGCACGUCAGGAUGCUGCAGAGCACUGAUUUUAGACUAUAUGUGGCUGGCCAGUGACCAAGUAUAUUUUAUCUUUUAAAUGAUUUUGUCUUUAGUUUAGUUUUUUAAAGAAUGAAUGAAUUUAACUUUGGUUAAAUUCAUUCAGAUGUUUAAAAGUGUAAAACAUCUAUUAAAUGUAUUAUUCUAUGCAGAUUGUUAAAUCAAGUUGUAAUAUGAAUGUAAUGACUUAACUGAAUGAAUAUAUAUAAAAAACGCCUUAAAGUGUAAAUUCCUAAAUCUUUUUCUUUCACAUAAAAGACAUAUUAAAGAGGUUUUAUUUAUCAUAUUUGAAUCAGUUAUAAUUACUAUAUGAUGGGAGACAGUGUUACACCUGCCUGUUCAGAAUGGGUCACAGCUUUCUCAAAAAAACCUCUCAUCUGAGCAACGUAAGUGUCUCAGGAAACCACACAGCGAAUAGAGUG
Molecule: long non-coding RNA, 1291 nt
Organism: Astatotilapia calliptera (eastern happy)
Lineage: Eukaryota; Metazoa; Chordata; Actinopteri; Cichliformes; Cichlidae
Source: Ensembl